Molecule: ribosomal RNA, 478 nt
Filed under: uncultured bacterium
Lineage: Bacteria
Description: partial 16S ribosomal RNA
Rfam family: Bacterial small subunit ribosomal RNA
Source: RNAcentral
GACGAACGCUGGCGGCGUGCUUAACACAUGCAAGUCGAACGGUAAGGCCCUUCGGGGUACACGAGUGGCGAACGGGUGAGUAACCCGUGGGUGAUCUGCCCUGUACUUCGGGAUAAGCCUGGGAAACUGGGUCUAAUACCGGAUAGGACCACUGCCUGCAUGGGUGGUGGUGGAAAGCUUUUGCGGUGUGGGAUGGGCCUGCGGCCUAUCAGCUUGUUGGUGGGGUGAUGGCCUACCAAGGCGACGACGGGUAGCCGGCCUGAGAGGGUGACCGGCCACACUGGGACUGAGAUACGGCCCAGACUCCUACGGGAGGCAGCAGUGGGGAAUAUUGCACAAUGGGCGCAAGCCUGAUGCAGCGACGCCGCGUGAGGGAUGACGGCCUUCGGGUUGUAAGCCUCUUUCAGCACCGACGAAGCGCAAGUGACGGUAGGUGCAGAAGAAGGACCGGCCAACUACGUGCCAGCAGCCGCAGUAA